GUUUACUGACUGUGGGAGGUGAUGAUGCAGCUGUGUGGCCGAGAGAUGCAGCUGUGCGGCUGCCUAUGUGCAGUGCUGACCGGACAGGCUUGCGUGCACAUGAGAAGGUCAAGGAUGAAGCUGGCUUCCGACACUCCACCCUAGAGGGUUUUGAGUAAGAACUUGAAGACACUUUUUUUCAACUUUCAUUUUUAUUUUCUGUGUUGAUCCAGAAAGGAAUGAAGCUGGGAAGCCUGCUUAAAGCAUGAUGCAGGAGCGGCCACACUGUAACGCAUUACUGACUGGGCCUUCUCCGCGGGCUUGGGAGUUGCACACAAGUGUGAGCCUCUCAGAAGAGCCAAAUGAUGGAAGCUUAAGAAACGCCCUGAGCUAUGCAAAGAAGACACUCAGCCAGGGGCUGGAGAUAGACAACUGGGGAGUUUCAGAAAGAAGACACUGCUUAGCAUAUUAAUGGGACACGUGACUUACUGAGAGCAGCAACUGGAAACACAGGAGCGGAAACACAGAAACAAAUUUCACAGAACACAGAGGCCCCGAAGUGGCUCCUCUUCCCCUGCCUUUCCCCACCACGUGCUUAACUGCAGUACCUUCAGCAUCCGUUCUCAUGGACCCCUCGUGUGGUGACUCCUCAAGUGAGUGGCAUUACUGGAGGGGCGGCCUUGUUGGAGGAAGUGUGUCCCAGUCUCUCCCUGCUUCCUGCAGAUCCAGAUGUAGAACUUUCAGCUCCUU
Peromyscus leucopus (white-footed mouse) is the source of this 729-nucleotide long non-coding RNA. RefSeq lists it as uncharacterized. The record is from RefSeq and is a predicted model, not a curated record. NCBI's taxonomy places the organism in Eukaryota, Metazoa, Chordata, Mammalia, Rodentia, Cricetidae. The transcript is spliced from 4 exons.